Molecule: signal recognition particle RNA, 102 nt
Filed under: bovine gut metagenome
Description: Bacteroidales small SRP
Rfam family: Bacteroidales small SRP
About the family: The non-coding component of the signal recognition particle in Bacteroides
Source: RNAcentral
AUUUGGGUAAGUCUUAUACGAUCUGCUCCUGUUGAACUCCCCCAGGGUCGGAAGGCAGCAAGGGUAAAAUGGUUGAGCGAUGCGAUAUAAGUCGCUUACCCU